GAUGAACGCUGGCGGCGUGCCUAAUACAUGCAAGUCGAGCGAACAGACGAGGAGCUUGCUCCUCUGACGUUAGCGGCGGACGGGUGAGUAACACGUGGAUAACCUACCUAUAAGACUGGGAUAACUUCGGGAAACCGGAGCUAAUACCGGAUAAUAUAUUGAACCGCAUGGUUCAAUAGUGAAAGACGGUUUUGCUGUCACUUAUAGAUGGAUCCGCGCCGCAUUAGCUAGUUGGUAAGGUAACGGCUUACCAAGGCAACGAUGCGUAGCCGACCUGAGAGGGGUGCGGGCCCCCCUGGACCUUGGAACCGGUCCCGGCCCCUACGGGGGGCAGGGGGUGGGACUUUUCCGCAAUGGGGGAAAGCCUGGCGGGGCAACCCCGGGGGGGUGAGGAAGGUUUUCGGUUCGUAAAACUCUUUUUUUGGGGAAGAAAAAAUGUGUAAGUAACUAUGACCUUUUUGACGGUACCUAAUCAAAAAGCCCCGGCUACCUCCGU
Molecule: ribosomal RNA, 496 nt
Filed under: uncultured bacterium
Lineage: Bacteria
Description: partial 16S ribosomal RNA
Rfam family: Bacterial small subunit ribosomal RNA
Source: RNAcentral